This 72-nucleotide transfer RNA is filed under the name Camelus ferus (Wild Bactrian camel). It matches the Rfam family "tRNA". Rfam says of the family: Transfer RNA (tRNA) molecules are approximately 80 nucleotides in length. Their secondary structure includes four short double-helical elements and three loops (D, anti-codon, and T loops). Lineage: Eukaryota; Metazoa; Chordata; Mammalia; Artiodactyla; Camelidae. The record is from Rfam by way of RNAcentral.
GAGGAUAUAGCUCAGUGGUAGAACUGCUGCCUAGCAUGCAUCAGGUCCUGGAUUCAAUCCCCAGUACCUGCA